RNAcentral lists this ribosomal RNA (253 nucleotides) under uncultured bacterium. RNAcentral describes it as "partial 16S ribosomal RNA". It matches the Rfam family "Bacterial small subunit ribosomal RNA", at positions 524 to 776 of the family's 1533-position model. The record is from RNAcentral.
UACAGGGGGUGCAAACGUUGCUCGGAAUCAUUGGGCGUAAAGCGUGCGCAGGCGGUUCGUUAAGUCAGAUGUGAAAGCCCCGGGCUCAACCUGGGAACUGCAUUUGAAACUGGCGGGCUUGAGUGCGGCAGAGGGGGGUGGAAUUCCGCGUGUAGCAGUGAAAUGCGUAGAGAUGUGGAGGAACACCGAUGGCGAAGGCAGCCUCCUGGGCCAGCACUGACGCUCAUGCACGAAAGCGUGGGGAGCAAACAGG